RNAcentral lists this long non-coding RNA (203 nucleotides) under Capsicum annuum. Its description in RNAcentral is "long non-coding RNA (CANN_LNC011101)". Lineage: Eukaryota; Viridiplantae; Streptophyta; Magnoliopsida; Solanales; Solanaceae. The record is from RNAcentral.
AACAGACUUGUUGGAUGAUGAUGGAGUUGUCUUUGUUGCAACAAUAUGGUCUAAAAUAAAAGUCGGUGUUUUGUCUGUUGGCAUAUUUCUUCUUGAAUCAGUCGAUGAUGUUUCCUCACGAGCUUGCAUCUCGAUAGUUUUAGCAUCAAAACAGAUAUCCUCCUCCUCUUCGUAGGUUAUGAUACUGAUGCAUCAGUACUCAG